CGUAAAGCGAGCGCAGGCGGAAGAAUAAGUCUGAUGUGAAAGCCCUCGGCUUAACCGAGGAACUGCAUCGGAAACUGUUUUUCUUGAGUGCAGAAGAGGAGAGUGGAAUUCCAUGUGUAGCGGUGGAAUGCGUAGAUAUAUGGAAGAACACCAGUGGCGAAGGCGACUCUCUGGUCUGCAACUGACGCUGAGGCUCGAAAGCAUGGGUAGCGAACA
RNAcentral lists this ribosomal RNA (216 nucleotides) under Escherichia coli. Its description in RNAcentral is "partial 16S ribosomal RNA". It matches the Rfam family "Bacterial small subunit ribosomal RNA", at positions 559 to 774 of the family's 1533-position model. Lineage: Bacteria; Pseudomonadati; Pseudomonadota; Gammaproteobacteria; Enterobacterales; Enterobacteriaceae. The record is from RNAcentral.